This 1027-nucleotide small RNA is filed under the name Pan troglodytes (chimpanzee). Its description in RNAcentral is "retained intron". The record is from RNAcentral. Lineage: Eukaryota; Metazoa; Chordata; Mammalia; Primates; Hominidae.
AAUGACGACAGACGUUCUUCCUUUGCUGCGUCUACUGCGAGAAUGAAGACUAUUCUCAGCAAUCAGACUGUCGACAUUCCAGAAAAUGUCGACAUUACUCUGAAGGGACGCACAGUUAUCGUGAAGGGCCCCAGAGGAACCCUGCGGAGGGACUUCAAUCACAUCAAUGUAGAACUCAGCCUUCUUGGAAAGAAAAAAAAGAGGCUCCGGGUUGACAAAUGGUGGGGUAACAGAAAGGAACUGGCUACCGUUCGGACUAUUUGUAGUCACGUACAGAACAUGAUCAAGGGUGUUACACUGGGCUUCCGUUACAAGAUGAGGUCUGUGUAUGCUCACUUCCCCAUCAACGUUGUUAUCCAGGAGAAUGGGUCUCUUGUUGAAAUCCGAAAUUUCUUGGGUGAAAAAUACAUCCGCAGGGUUCGGAUGAGACCAGGUAUGUGCAUGCCCUCAGACAGAAUUAAGAAAUUUUUCCUUCAUUUUUUUUUCCUCCUUUUCCACUCCCAACUUCCAUACUUUAGUUGGCUGUUGUUUUGUGUUUGUGCUGAGUAAAACCAGAUUUGUUUUAGAAUUAUCUCUUGAUUACACUUAGAACUGUUGGUGCUACUUAAGGGUUUAUAUCAUUAUAUUGAUUACAAUUUCAAAAAGUUGAUACAUUGGAGUAGCUUGCAGUGGUGGUUGUAUUUAACUUGGCAAAUGAAAUCUUUUAAAAAGACUUUAAAUUUACAAAAGGUGUAUAUAAUGGUGUGUAUUUAUGGAGCACAAUGUGAUGUUUCAACACAUGCAUAUUCUGUGGAAUGACUAAAUCAGGCUAAUUAACACAUCCAUCACUCCAUUUAUUUCUUCGUGGUAAGAACCUUUAAAAUCUAAAGAGAAAACUACAUGAGUAGUGGUUAAUAGCCUAGCUUAAAUUUCAGUUCUCACUGUCCACCUUGGGCAUGUCAUCUCUGCAGCUUAAAAUUGCAAACAUCUUUGAUUAAAUGAGUUAAAGUUGAAAAACAACAGUGCAUGCGUAAUACAUAGUAAACAC